RNAcentral lists this ribosomal RNA (484 nucleotides) under uncultured bacterium. RNAcentral describes it as "partial 16S ribosomal RNA". It matches the Rfam family "Bacterial small subunit ribosomal RNA", at positions 30 to 507 of the family's 1533-position model. The record is from RNAcentral.
AUUGAACGCUGGCGGCAGGCCUAGCACAUGCAAGUCGAGCGGAUGAAGGGAGCUUGCUCCUGGAUUCAGCGGCGGACGGGUGAGUAAUGCCUAGGAAUCUGCCUGGUAGUGGGGGAUAACGUCCGGAAACGGGCGCUAAUACCGCAUACGUCCUGAGGGAGAAAGUGGGGGAUCUUCGGACCUCACGCUAUCAGAUGAGCCUAGGUCGGAUUAGCUAGUUGGUGGGGUAAAGGCCUACCAAGGCGACGAUCCGUAACUGGUCUGAGAGGAUGAUCAGUCACACUGGAACUGAGACACGGUCCAGACUCCUACGGGAGGCAGCAGUGGGGAAUAUUGGACAAUGGGCGAAAGCCUGAUCCAGCCAUGCCGCGUGUGUGAAGAAGGUCUUCGGAUUGUAAAGCACUUUAAGUUGGGAGGAAGGGCAGUAAGUUAAUACCUUGCUGUUUUGACGUUACCAACAGAAUAAGCACCAGCUAACUUCGUG